Molecule: non-coding RNA, 634 nt
Organism: Heterocephalus glaber (naked mole-rat)
Lineage: Eukaryota; Metazoa; Chordata; Mammalia; Rodentia; Bathyergidae
Source: RefSeq, a predicted model, not a curated record
AGCCUCUUCCGGUGUGCUCUCUUUCCCCCUGGCCCGUAAGGGCACAUUGCUGUCCGUUAUUUGGUUCCGCGAGGCUUUUAAGUCCCGCUUCCGGGAGACGGCGAACAAGGCUCUUCCCGGCGGUGCUCCGGGUCGCCUGCCUCAGGGAGGCCACGUUGGCUGGGGCGGAUCAGACAAGGGCACCUCUCAGUGAAAAAGAAGUCCGGAUCGCGUGUGCCUUAACAACAUCGCUUCUCUUCCUUUCUGUCGGUUCCUUCCUACCCAACACCCAAAUUAAACACACCAUUGUAGGCUGGAAGGAGAGUCUCCUGGUUUGUGCCCUGAUUUAGUCCCAAGAUCCCAGAGGAAACAGAGACAUCUCCAUGGUGACUGGAAUAAGCUGCUCAGAGAAGCAAAGCCAGGCAACAGGGUCUUGUUGUACAGUUCAGGCUGGGCUUGAACUCCUGGCAGUCCUCCUGCCUCAGCCUCCUGAGCACUGGGAUCACAGGUGACGCUGGUUGGCUGCUACAGAGCUGGGGAGUGAAGAGGCCAGCGCUUCCCCUUCCCCCAUCUCCCCCAGAUGACAGACACACAUGGAGGGCCAGGAGCUGCCCAGCCCCAAGGACAUAAAGGUUCUAGGUUGCACAAACAGAAA